This 22-nucleotide ribosomal RNA is filed under the name Eumida ockelmanni. RNAcentral describes it as "partial 28S ribosomal RNA". The record is from RNAcentral. Lineage: Eukaryota; Metazoa; Annelida; Polychaeta; Phyllodocida; Phyllodocidae.
CGACCUGAGAUCAGACGAGAUU